This 225-nucleotide ribosomal RNA is filed under the name uncultured bacterium. RNAcentral describes it as "partial 16S ribosomal RNA". It matches the Rfam family "Bacterial small subunit ribosomal RNA", at positions 109 to 334 of the family's 1533-position model. The record is from RNAcentral.
AGUAACGCGUGGGUAACCUGCCUUGUACAGGGGGAUAACAGUUGGAAACGGCUGCUAAUACCGCAUAAGCGCACAGCAUCGCAUGAUGCAGUGUGAAAAACUCCGGUGGUAUAAGAUGGACCCGCGUUGGAUUAGCUAGUUGGUGAGGUAACGGCCCACCAAGGCGACGAUCCAUAGCCGACCUGAGAGGGUGACCGGCCACAUUGGGACUGAGACACGGCCCAA